UACGUAGGGUGCGAGCGUUAAUCGGAAUUACUGGGCGUAAAGCGUGCGCAGGCGGUUCGACAAGUCCGAUGUGAAAUCCCCGGGCUCAACCUGGGAACUGCAUUUGUGACUGCAUAGCUGGAGUGCGGCAGAGGGGGAUGGAAUUCCGCGUGUAGCAGUGAAAUGCGUAGAUAUGCGGAGGAACACCGAUGGCGAAGGCAAUCCCCUGGGCCUGCACUGACGCUCAUGCACGAAAGCGUGGGGAGCAAACAGG
RNAcentral lists this ribosomal RNA (253 nucleotides) under uncultured bacterium. RNAcentral's name for it is "partial 16S ribosomal RNA". It matches the Rfam family "Bacterial small subunit ribosomal RNA", at positions 524 to 776 of the family's 1533-position model. The record is from RNAcentral.